Long non-coding RNA from Hypanus sabinus (Atlantic stingray), 650 nucleotides. RefSeq lists it as uncharacterized. The transcript has 4 exons. NCBI's taxonomy places the organism in Eukaryota, Metazoa, Chordata, Chondrichthyes, Myliobatiformes, Dasyatidae. The record is from RefSeq and is a predicted model, not a curated record.
CCCGGGCUAGUCCGUGCUGUUUUUUUCUUUCUUUGUGAAAGCGGGUCGGCGGUGAGAUCGGGAUGCGGAGGGGGUUCUCGCCGUCUUGGACGGGGUGCCGAAGACACUGCGGGGCAACACCAAAAAUGUUCUUUCGUUAGACAUGUGAUGAGAGAUUUAUUGGAAGAAAAUCCCCAAAUGGAAGCAAACCAUGACUGAAGACGAGUGAAACAGCCCGAGGAUUGAGAACAUCAACUGGAGAGAACCCAACUGACUUGGAGAUUCCAUUGAUAUAGUCAGGAGAAAGUUUGGUUAAAAAUGACAAGGAAUUUGUCUGUGGAAAUUCAAACAUAGCACCCCAGUUUUGCUGUCUCGGUCUAGAUAUUUAAGAAGUGGAGCAAGGGAUUUACUCGAUCAUCCUUCCUGCUCAUACUGUGGAGAGGGAUUCACUUGGUCAUCUGACUAACUGGCACGCCCAUCAUUUUACACAGGGGAGAGGCCAUUCACCUGCUCAGACAGUGGGAGUGCAUUCACUCGGUCAUCUCAACUGAAGGAAUCCUUCUGUUUCUGGGAAGAGGUCUCCAACUCUCAGUCAGGUGCUCGAUAUUUCCUUUUCACCAUCUCAUCUGCUCAGAUCAUUGGGAUGUCUCCCAUGGAGGGUCAUACUCAUU